Molecule: ribosomal RNA, 440 nt
Filed under: uncultured bacterium
Lineage: Bacteria
Description: partial 16S ribosomal RNA
Rfam family: Bacterial small subunit ribosomal RNA
Source: RNAcentral
CCUACGGGAGGCAGCAGUGGGGAAUAUUGCACAAUGGGCGAAACCCUGAUGCAGCGACGCCGCGUGAGUGAAGAAGUAUUUCGGUAUGUAAAGCUCUAUCAGCAGGGAAGAAAAUGACGGUACCUGAUUCAUAAGCCCCUGCUAACUACGUGCCAGCAGCCGCCGUAAUACGUCGGGGGCAAGCGUUAUCCGGAGUUACUGGGUGUAACGGGAGCGUGGACGGCAGAACAAGUCUGGAGUGAAAUGCCGGGGCUUAACCACGGAACUGCUUUGGAAACUGGGCAGCUAGAGUGCAGGAGAGGUGAGUGGAAUUCCAAGUGUAGCGGUGAAAUGCGUAGAGAUUAGGAGGAACACCAGUGGCGAAGGCGGCUUACUGGACGGUAACUGACGUUGAGGCGCGAAAGCGUGGGGAGCAAACAGGAUUAGAUACCCUAGUAGUC